GACGAACGCUGGCGGCGUGCUUAACACAUGCAAGUCGAACGGUAAGGCCCUUCGGGGUACACGAGUGGCGAACGGGUGAGUAACACGUGGGUGAUCUGCCCUGCACUUCGGGAUAAGCCUGGGAAACUGGGUCUAAUACCGGAUAGGACCCUGGGAUGCAUGUCCUGGGGUGGAAAGCUUUUGCGGGGUGGGAUGGGCCCGCGGCCUAUCAGCUUGUUGGUGGGGUGAUGGCCUACCAAGGCGACGACGGGUAGCCGGCCUGAGAGGGUGACCGGCCACACUGGGACUGAGAUACGGCCCAGACUCCUACGGGAGGCAGCAGUGGGGAAUAUUGCACAAUGGGCGCAAGCCUGAUGCAGCGACGCUGCGUGAGGGAUGACGGCCUUCGGGCUGUAAACCUCUUUCAGCACCGACGAAGCGCAAGUGACGGUAGGUGCAGAAGAAGGACCGGCCAACUACGUGCCAGCCGCCGCCGUAA
This 478-nucleotide ribosomal RNA is filed under the name uncultured bacterium. Its description in RNAcentral is "partial 16S ribosomal RNA". It matches the Rfam family "Bacterial small subunit ribosomal RNA", at positions 28 to 523 of the family's 1533-position model. The record is from RNAcentral.